UGGGGAAUAUUGCACAAUGGGCGAAAGCCUGAUGCAGCAACGCCGCGUGAGUGAUGAAGGCCUUCGGGUUGUAAAGCUCUGUCUUUUGGGACGAUAAUGACGGCACCAAAGGAGGAAGCCACGGCUAACUACGUGCCAGCAGCCGCGGUAAUACGUAGGUGGCAAGCGUUGUCCGGAUUUACUGGGCGUAAAGGAUGCGUAGGCGGAUUUUUAAGUGAGAUGUGAAAACCCUAAGCUUAACUUGGGGACUGCAUUUCAUACUGGAAAUCUAGAGUGCGGGAGAGGAGAAUGGAAUUCCUAGUGUAGCGGUGAAAUGCGUAGAGAUUAGGAAGAACACCAGUGGCGAAGGCGAUUCUCUGGACCGUAACUGACGCUGAGGCAUGAAAGCGUGGGUAGCAAACAGGAUUAGAUACCCUGGUAGUCCACGCCGUAAACGAUGAGUACUAGGUGUAGGAGGUAUCGACCCCUUCUGUGCCGCAGUUAACACAAUAAGUACUCCGCCUGGGAAGUACGAUCGCAAGAUUAAAAACUUAAAAUGAAUUGACGGGGGUCAUAGCUGUUUCCU
This 565-nucleotide ribosomal RNA is filed under the name uncultured bacterium. RNAcentral's name for it is "partial 16S ribosomal RNA". It matches the Rfam family "Bacterial small subunit ribosomal RNA", at positions 355 to 938 of the family's 1533-position model. The record is from RNAcentral.